RNAcentral lists this long non-coding RNA (311 nucleotides) under Mustela putorius furo (domestic ferret). RNAcentral's name for it is "lncRNA (ENSMPUG00000030572.1)". Lineage: Eukaryota; Metazoa; Chordata; Mammalia; Carnivora; Mustelidae. The record is from RNAcentral.
UCCAGGCAGGAGGCCUGGAGAGGAAACAGCCCCAAAAGAAGGAGACUAGAAGCUUCCGGAAGGAUGUGUCCACGAGAUCCACUGAAAGUCUUAUGUCUGACUUUAGACAUGACCCACAUGUGGAAAGCUGUCCUGAGAGGCCAGAAAGAGGGAGUUGGAACAGCAUGAACCUGUUUAGGUCAUCGCUGUUGACCAAAGAGCAGUGUAAAGAGAGAAAUGGAGCGGCAGACAGAGAGAGACAGAGGGAAGCAGGCUCCCCACUGAGCAGAGAGCCCGAUGCGGGACUCGAUCCCAGCACCCUGAGAUCAUGA